UCUUAGAAGAUUGUUGGAAAAUUAUUAAAAUUCUAAUAUGUAGAAGAGAUAUCGAUCUAAGUAGUUAAUACUAGAAUGCCUCUUCACUUAUGGUACGUUUACUUCAUGGAAUGAGAAUGAGGUGUAAUGAGAAUGGGCUAAGAAUGGGAAUUGGCUGGAAUGAGAAUUAGAUUUCAAUGUUUACUUGGUAAAAGUAAAUAGGAAUGGGAAUGUGCUGGAAUAUCAUUGAUGUAUUUACUUAGCAAAAAAAAUGGGAAUGAGGAAUGGGAAUGAGAAUCAAUUUAUCAAAAUAUCAAUAGUAUUAAUAAUUAAUAAAAAAUAAUUAAAUUAUUAUUAUUAAUAAUAUUAUCAUUAUUGUUGUUAUUAUUACUAUUAUUAUUAUUAUUAAAAAUAAUAUUAACAAUAAUUAAUAAUAACUAAAAUAAUAAAGUUAAUAAAAUUUAAUAAUAAUAUUAUUAUUCUUAUUCUUAUUAAAUUUUAUUAACUUUAUUAUUUUAGUUAUUAUUAAUUACUGUUAAUAUUAUUUUUAUUAAUAUUAUCAUUAUUAAUAUUUAUUAUUAGUAUUAUUAUUAUAUUUUAUUAAAUUUAUUAUUUUUGUUAUUAUUAAUUAUUGAUAAUAUUAUUUUUAUUAAUAUUAUCAUUAUUAACAUUUAUUAUCAUUAUUGUUAAAUUUUAUUAACUCUAUUAUUUUAUUUAUUAUUAAUUAUUUUUUAUUAAUAUUAUCAUUAUUAACAUUUAAUAAUAUUAUUAUUAAAUUUUAUUAACUUAUUAUUUUUAGUUAUUAUUAAUUACUGUUAAUAUUAUUUUUAUAAAUAUCAUCAUUAUUAACAUUUAUUAUUAUUAUUAUUAUUAUUAUUAAAUUUUAUUAACUUUAUUAUUUUAGUUACUAUUAAUUAUUGUUAUUAUUAUUUUUAUUAAUAUUAUCAUUAUUAACAUUUAUUAUUAUUAUUUUAAUUAAUUUCAUUUUUAUAUCUAGAUAAUGAAAAUUACAUUAUUAUUAUCAUUAUUAUUAAAUUUUAUUAACUUUAUUAUUUUAAUUAUUGUUAUUAUUAUUUUUAAUAAUAAUAAUAAUAAUAAUAAUAAUAAUAAUAAUAACAAUAAUGAUAAUAUUUUUAAUAAUGAUAAAUUAAUUAUUUUUGUUAAUUAUUAUUUUUAUCAUUAUUUUUAUUGUUAAUAAUGAUGAUGAUAAUAAUAAUAAUAAAAAUAAUAAAAAUAAUUAAUAAUAACUAAAAUAAUAAAGUUAAUAAAAUUUAAUAAUAAUAAUUAUUAUUAUUAUUAUUAAUGGUAUUUAAAAUAAUAAAAUUAAUUGUGAUUUGAAUGAGGGUAAUUUGGGAAAUAUGAAAAAAUUAAAGGGAUACAACAGUAAACAUAUAUUCCAUUCUCAUUCCCUCAUUGUCAUUCCCAACCCCCCAUGGGAAUGAGAUUCCCAUUUCUUAUUCCCAAUUUGUGUGGAACCCAUACAUUUUAUUCUCAUUCUCAAAUUACAUUUUACCAAGUAAACAUGAGUUUCAUUCUCAUUCCCUAUUUCAUAAAGUAAACACAUCAUUAAUUGAAUACAUCAAUUAACUCCAUAUGUAAAUAUAUCUUCAAUAUUUUUUAAUUGUAGAUUGAUUCAAUUUGGCUACAACUUGCCAAAUUGACAAAUUGAAUUUAGAAUGAAUAAUCAAUUUUAGUGGGCAACAAAAUCUUCAUGCAUGCAUGGCAACAACCUGUCAAAUAUUUGUGCCACCAACGUCCAAUUUGUCAAGAAAAACCGUGUGGAAAAAUAAGCUUUGGUGGGCUGACGUUUCAACAGUGCACGACGGCGACAUAAAAUUGCUACUUCAACUUCCGUGUGGAAAACAAAAGAUUGCUACUUGUACACGACGGCGACAUAAAAUAAAUUGAGAAACCUUCCCAGAUUCAUCAGAGGAAAUUUACAUUUCGACUUUAAUUAGAUAUUCUAAGGUCUUAGUCACUAAAGUCUCUUCAGGUCAAACUCAUCAAUGAAAAGGGAUAUUCUACAGGCUGCUCAAUCCUAGGAAAAUCGUGAAGGAACUUAUGAUUCUAGAUGAUGAUGAUGAUGAUUUCUUUUUCUUUUCGUAAAUGGAUAAGAUUCAAAAUGAGAAACCUGAAGGGCGGUUUCUAGAAUUUCAAACAAAAAAAUUAUGUUAAUAGAAAAAAUAUUCUGCAUCAACUGAGAAUAUUACAAAACUCUUUAGUUUCUAAAUAUGAGUUUGCUCAAUAAUUGACAUACAAAAAUGAAGAUAAAAUUGGGAACACAAACGACUAGAAUAAUGACAUGGGUAUAUAUAUUUUUAUCAAUUAAUUAGUCUUUUUAGUUAUUUUCCAAAAACAUUAGAGGUAAUUAAUUUUUGCUUGACCAAGUGGUUUUAAAGAGUUUAAUUCAUUAAUUUGACUUGGUCCGAUUACCUACCUAUUUGGAGGGGAAAAGAAAAUAAAAAAGGAGAGGUUUGUACUUUAGUUAAUUUUGGAGGGGUAAAAAAAUAAAAAAGGAGAGGUUUGUACUGUACUUAAUUUUUUUUCACAACGUUGAUGCGUGUAUCCUUGCGGAGGUAAUAAUUAAUAGGGUAAGACUAUUUGAAUCCACAAUAAUAUUGUUGACACCCAUGUUUUUGUAAUUUUUUUAUUACUUUAAUAGCCUUAAGUGAAAUUACUCGAAAGUUAAAAGGACAAAAUAGAUUAAAAUAGCAUAUACACCCAACCUAUCACGAUUCAUAAAUCUACCUAUUUUCUUUUCAUAAAUGUUUUAUUCAAAGUAAGAGGGAAAGUUUCAUGAUAUUAAACUUGCUAAUUAAUUAUGUAUUCAAGUGUAAUCUCUGCGUUUCUGGUAACUAGUCUGAUAAUCAGUGUCCCUAGUUGUGCAUUUGGAGUAAAGAUACAGGUGCAGAAGGAAAGGCUGCGCAAAUAUAGUUCUUUGAUCUUUUCAUGCUUUUAAAGUUACAAAAUUUAUAUAUGAGUUGAUAAAGAAUGAAUUUUCUCUUUUUCAGUAUUUACAUUACAUCACUGUCGUUUCCAGUUCAAAUCGUGCAGCUCGACAUGAAUUAUCUUUUUCCUUUCUUUUUUUUCUCUUUAAUCAAGUGAUGGCAAGCAACUCAAAGUUCUGUUGAAUUUUCGGAUGAUUUGAAAGAGUUUUAUGGUCAUUUCUACUUCUAACUUUUCAUAAACAGCAAUUUGUCUUAAUGGAAAGGGGAAAAAAAAUUCUUCAUGCGUGGGUUUGAGAAGAAAGAAGAAAAAUGAAUAAAGGAGUAAAUUGGAAUUACAUUUAAAAUUUAAUGGGUUUUAAAAGUAAAAAUGUGAUUUUUAAAAUUUCAUGAUGGGUGUAUUGAGAAAUUGGGUGGAGAGAGUAUUUUUGUGGGUUCAAAUAGCCCCACCCUAAUUAAUAACAAGUCAUAACUAGUCAUGAUCCAAUUGGAAGGGGAAACUAAUUUCCAAGAACAUGCAAUGAUCAAAUCAAAUAGACCAAAAGCUCUAGACGACCAGGUAUUAUAUUUUUUUACUAAUAGUUAAUUGUUAACUGAAACUGAUGAUCAAGUUAAAUAUUAUCAAAAAGGGUUUACUGACAUAGGUCCAUUCUUCAGUCAACUUGUUAUCUUUGAAGACUAAGUUAAUUUGCUAUAUAAAGGAUUUGUUGCAAUGGUACAUGUAUCAACUUGAUUUCUUGCCUUAUUGUUUUGUAUUAAUAUUUGUGAAAGCUAACAGACCAGAUCAUAUAUAUAUAUAUAUAUAGAUAUAUAGCUGACGGCGGACAAUGCCAGAACCGGUUACGAUAACGGCAACGGCAGUGGGAGGUCUCUUAGCAGGGGCCAUUCUAGGUGUUGCGCUUCAAGAGAUCAUGGUGGCGAUUAAAGAAUCAAAGUCAAGGUGCAGCAACUUCAGAGACGCCCUAAAUAGCCUUGAAAACACCAUCAACCUGUUAAGUCCUUUGAUCAAAGAAAUGGAUAGGUUAAAUCGAGAGCUGGAGGACUCUAAUAAAAGAGAAGAGAUCAUUCGUUUGUUUCUUCAACAGCUGAAGAAAGCGGAAGCUCUGGUUUCAAAGUGCUCAAGCAUCCGUCGCUGGAACUUGUACAAGAAGAGGAAAUACGAAAAAAGGCUUCGGAAUAUGGAUUCUUCUCUUCGUGACCUUUCCGCAGUGCUCCAGGUUGGACAAGCGCUUGAUACCCAGCGCCUUCAACGUAUAAUACAAGAUAUGUAACACUAAUUAAUUAAGGGCGCCGGGCACGAUUGCUUUUGUUAUGCCCAGCCGAUGGGUUGCCGCAGCCUAGCUGUUGGGGCCUGUGAGUGCUGAUAUUUAAAAAAAAAUAAAAUUAACAAAUAAAAUUAUGACACUGUGGGUGUUAAAGAAAAAAUAAUUAAUUAAUAAUAUAACUCUGCAAGGUAUGAUAGUUCAUUAUUUUGUUGGCUUUUUAUCAGCCUUUAGUCUCUUUAGAUGUGGUUUUUUUUUUUUAAUUUCAUCUAUGUUUCUAAACAAAAAAUGUAUAUACGAACUAGUAAUUGUUUUUACCAAUCAUCUUUUCUAAUCAUCUAUGAACUUUUCUUUGAUAGAUGUAGUUUUUAAUCCAUUUAGAGGCCACAUUACCUCACUACCAAACCGGAUUAAAUUAAAUCUCAGACAUGCAUGCAUUUAAUUGGUCUAAUUCUCUAAAGAUUAUGCUAUGACUAUGAAAAAUGUCGUGAGAAAGAGAGUUUAGGGUAUAGGGUUGAUUCCAACGCAAGUAAUGGUAAUGCAUAUCGAAUUUUUAUGUUAUAAUAUGGAAAAAAAAGUUUUUUAUAUUAAAAAAUUAUCAAUAUAGAUUUUUUAAAUUUAUUUUUUUUAAAUUUAAACAUACGCAUACUGCAUGGGACUUUUGACAUGCAGCCUACCCCAGUCAACUCAUUUGAUUAUACAUAACUUGAUCGCUUGAUCUGCAAGUUAUAUUGUCCUCUCAAAUUAUUUAUAAAAAAAAAAUGAUCUGCAAGUUUCAAUUAACUAUUAGUAAUAGCAUCCAUUCGUCUAGAACUCGGCAUAUUGAUUUCAUCAUUGCAUGUUCUUAGAAAUUUCAUCAUGACUAGUUAGUAGUUAACUAACCACCUUCAAAGAAAGAGUAGUAUGUACAAAAGAACAAAAGGGAGGACAAAAACGAUAAAAGAUAAAAUAAAUAAAUAAAAAGACAAAUCGUUACUUUAAACUAGUUGAUUGUGCGUACACAUGUCAUUAUUCAAUUGGAUCAUGUCCUCCAUUUGCUCUCCAUUUUUGUACAUCAAUUAUGGGCUAAGGCUUCAAGCUAAAUAUUUUAUUGAUAAAAACCAAGACUAUCAUGCAAUUUAUAUAUAAAUGGUUAGAUUUAAAACCAUUAUAUAUAUAUAUAUAAGAAUAUUUACAGUAUCAUAAAAGUGCACAUCCGUUCAAAAAUUCUGAGCGGAUGUCUGUUUCUGUAUAGAGUUAAAAGAACAAGUGAAGCAAUUAAACCCAAUUGCAACAUUCAACCUGUCAUCAAUCAAGUAAAUUACCGGCUCAUUGCUUAAUCUUUAAUUUUUAUUUCCCAUUCCAGUAUUAAAGAUUAAUUCUACUUCCAUACUUGGUCAAAAGAGGAAAAAAAAUGCUACUUGUACAUGAUGGCGACAUAAAAAAAAAAUUGAAAAUUUGUUCCUAAUUCUCAUCUGAGGAAAAAUGACAUGUUGGCUUUAAUUAAAUAUUGAAUAAUAUUACUGUCUUUUUAGUAGUAUCUCAAUCUCGAUACCAUUGCGAUGCUUAUUUAAAAAGUUUAUAGUUAAUCAAUUAAUUAUUUUUAUUUUUAUUUUAUUAUUAUUAUUAUUAUUAUUAUUAUUAUUAUUAUUAUUAUUGAAUAUCUGGAUAAGUACGCUUUAUAUAUGGUGGUUUCAGAUUUCAGUCGCCAAAUUCUCUGCACGUGUGAUUCAUCAAUGAAAAUGGAUAUUCCACAGGCGGCUCAGUCCGAGGAAAAUUGUGAAGGAAGUUAUAGUUCUAUAAUAAUAAUAAUUAUUAUUAUUAUUUCUUUUUCUUUUUGUAAAAUGGAUGAGAUUCAAAUUGAAAAUCUUGAUGGUCAGUUUCUGGAAUUUCAAAUCAAAGAGAUGAGUGUUGAUAGGGAAAAUGUUCUACAUUAACUGAGAAUAGUUACAAAACUCUUGAGCUAGUUAUUAAGUAUAAAUUAGCCGAAUGAUAGACAUACAAAAUUGGAGACAAAAUCAGGAAUAUGAAUCAAUAGAGCAAUAGCAUGUACCAAUAUUAUGAUAAAUUAGUUAAAUAAAGUAAAUGAUUUGUCUUUUAAUUACUUUUAAAAAGUAUAUAUUGAAUAGAUUUUGGGGGUUAAAAUGUUAUAAUUGCUUUAACUUAUUAAAAAAAAGUUAUUGUUUCAUCUAAUUGAAAGAUAAAUAUGUCAAUGCAUUAUAGAAUUAGGAUCCUCUCCUUUUUUUUUUUUCUUCUCUCUCCUUGCUUCUCCUUGCCUUCAUAAUCUAAUAAAAAAAAACUAGCUUGAUUGUAAAUAAAGUGAAAAAGGCAAACACAAAACUCAAUCUUAACCACUCACUAUAUAAGGACAAGCAAUGACAGAAAACAAGAGAAGAAGAGGAUCCUUCUCCUAUAUUAAAACAUCGAUUGUCACUGGUAGUAUUAUAAAGUUAAAAUGACAUAUAGUAUAAUUAAUUUAACAACAUUUUCAUAAUUUUAUGAUUUCUUUUCUUUACAGUCAUAUAUUCUCUUUUUCUAUUUAUUACAUCAAAUUAUUUAAAUAUGUCACAUUCUCUAUUAAUAAAAUAAAAAAGAAUUGCAUAAAUAAUUUUUCAUUGUACAAUUUUAAUAAUUUAUAUUAUUAUAAGCUUAUUGUUGCAUUAAUGUUGUUAUUUAUUAAGUAUAUGUACUUCGCUAAGAGCUUUGAUGCCGUGUUACUCGAUAUAUGUGUUUAUUUUUUACUCCUCUACAUAUACCGACACUCACAUAAAUACUUAAAAUAAAUAUAUAAAUUUAUCUAGACUAAUUAAAAGUCUUGGGUCCUGUUUAGUUAAUUUGUUGUCUUUGAUGCCUUAAUUUGCUAUAUAAAGGAGUAGUUGCAAAUGUGGCCCAGCUCAUUUGACAUUCUCCUACUUGGAGAUUAAAUUGAGAACCAAUCAAUUUUCACACCAUCUUUUCUACUUCGCCAUUGUCAUGUUGCUUACGUUUCUGCUAGGCUACAAAAGAAUCUACUCCAUACAAAUUUAUCAGUAUUUAUCGGUUUAGUCAAAACAUCUGCUAGGUUCUCCUUCGUAUGGAUUUUCUAUAAAUCCAUACUUCCAUCUUCUACUACUUCUCGAACGAAGUGAUACUGAACUCCUAUGUACUUCAUUCUGAAAUGAAAGGCUGGAUUCCUUACAAUAUGCAAGGCACUCUGACUGUCACAAAAUAUAGGAAUUUUCUAUUGUUUGUGCCUGAACUCCUCCAAUAACCUUUGUAUCCAAAUAGCUUCCUUGUAAGCUUGUGUAGCUGCCAUGUAUUCUGCUUCUAUUAUAGAUAAAGCCACAACAAUUUGCAGUUUUGAAACCCAGCUUACAGCUGCUUCCGCAAGUGUAAACACAUAGCUAGAAGUGGAUUUUCUUUUAUCAAGAUCUCCUGUAAAAUCUGAAUCCACGUAGCCCCUGACAGUAAACUCUGAUCCUCAAUAACAUAAUGCAACAUCGGAGGUUCCUCUGAUAUACCUUAGAAUCCUCUUCACAGCUAUCCAAUGUUCUCCACCAGAAUUCGCCAUGUAUCGACUGACUGCUCUCACUACUUGUGCAAUGUCUGAUCUUGUACAAAUCAUAACAAACAUUAAACUUCCCACUACUGAUGCAUACGGUACUCGAGACAUCUUCUUUCUCUCUACUUCAUUUCUAGGACACAUAAUUCAGAAUAACUUGAAAUUAAUAGGAAGUGGGGUAGAAAUUGACUUACAAUCUUGCAUCCCUAGAAUCUUGUUUGUUGGUCCUAAGUCCUUCAUUUCAAAUUCCUUAGACAAUUGUGCCUUCAAUUCUUGGACUCGAUCUUUGUUGGGGCCUAUUACCAACAUGUCAUCCACAUACAACAUCAAAAUAAUGAAAUCAUUGUCUUCAAAUCUUUUGUAAUAUGCACAAUGGUCUGAACUCAGUUUGUUGUAUCCAAGGCUCAUGAUGAAGGAAUCAAAUCUCUUAUACUAACCUGCAAACCAAGCUCUCUUUUCCCUUUUUUAGUAAAACCUUCUGGUUGGAGCAUAUAAAUUUCUUCUUCAAAUUCUCCAUAAAGAAAUGCAAUUUUCACAUCUAACUGCUCUAGAUGUAGGUCAAAUGUAGCACACAUCGCCAAAACUAUUCUGAUUGUCUUGAGUCGACCUACCGGAGAAAAUAUCUCAUUGAAGUCAAUAUCUUCUUUCUGAACAUAUCUUUUCAGCACCAAUCUUGCACAAUACCACUCCACUUGGUCAUUACCAUCAUGUUUGAUCUUGUAGACCUAUUUGUUUCCAAUGGCUUUCCUUCCAUGUGGUAGUGGUACAAGUUCCCAUGUCUUAUUCUUGUGUAGAGCUUCAACUUCUUCCUACAUUGCUGUCAUCCACAAAGCAACAUCUGAGCUGUUUAAAGUUUUAUGGAAAUUUGAUGGCUCUCCAUCCUCUGUUAGAAAACAGUAUGCAACAUUGAUCUCUGUGACAUACUUCGAGUGCCACAUUGGCGGCUGUCUCUCAUGAGUUGACCGACGAACUUCUGGAGCCUCGAACUCAACUAAUUCUUGUUCCUCGUGCUCUAAUGUUGUUUCAGAAGAAUCUGAAUCUUCUUUUUCCAGAUUAUUUUUCACAUACACUGGUACAAUCUCUAACUUUUCUUUUACAGUAUUAUCAUCCUCAUCUCUCAUUUGCAGUUGAUCUUCUACAAAGAUAACAUCUCUACUGAUAACGAUCUUAUGGGCAGUGAGGUCCCAAAAACGAUACCCUUUUACCCUAUCAACAUACCUUAAAAAGAUACACCUCCUAAAUUUUGGAUCUAGCUUUGUUCUUUCUUGGGCAUUGCACAUCAUGUACAUAGGACAUCCAAAUGCAUGUACGUAGGAGUAAUCAGCUGGCUUUCCAGUCCACAUCUCCAUCGCUGUCUUCAACCCAAUUGCUGUGGAUGGCGACCGAUUUAAUAUAUAACAAGCAGUUUUGGCUGCUUCUACCCAGAAUGAAUUGGAUAGACCAACAGUCCUCAAUAUAACUCUUAUCAUUUUUGUAAGAGUUAUAUUUAUCUGCUCUACUACUCCAUUUUGUUGAGGAGUGUAUACUACCAUGAACACGCCAUUUGUAUACUCUCCACCAUUAUUCGUCCUUAAGUACUUGAUCAUUUUACUAGAUUCAAGUUCCACCCGCACUUUGUAUUCUUUAAACACUAGAAAUACAUCUGACUUUUUCUUAAUUGGAUACACCCAAUAUCUCCUAAAAUAAUCAUCAAUGAAAGUCACCAUGUACUUUGCACCUCCUAUGAAUAUGUCUGGUGAUUCCCAAACAUCAGAGUGAACCAAGUCUAGAAUGCAUUUACUUCUAGCAAUAGAUCUACUGAACUUUACUCUAUACUGCUUACUUGUAACACAAUACUCGCAAAAUGGUAAGCUUACUGAUUUGAGCCCUGGAAGCAAUUUUCGCUCAGAGAGAAUUUUCAAACCUUGUUCUGACAUGUGGCCAAGUUUGAGAUGCCACAUCAUUGUUGAUUCUUCUCCAUUUGAUGCGACAUACACAUCAACCUCCUAUAGUGUUUGUCCUUUAAGUAUAAAUAAAUUAGUACCGAUCUUUUCUGCCUUCAUCAAUACAUGCACGCCUUUAACAAUCUUCACAAUUCCAUUCUCCACAUGAGUUUUGUACCCAUGACUAUCCAUUUGUCCCAAAGACAAUAGAUUUUUCUUCAGGCCAUUGACAUGUCGUACCUCCUCAAUUGUGCGAAUUGUACUAUCAAACAUUUUUAUUUUAAUAGUACUAAUACCAAGGACCUCCAAGGCAUGAUCAUUACCCAUAUAUACAGAUCCUCCUGAAAUAGGUUCAUAUAUAUGGAAUCAUUCUCUCCGAGAGGUCAUGUGCUAGGUAGCUUCUGAGUCUAUAAGCCAGACAUCAGAUAGUCGUUUUCUGCCUUCUGAAAUAGUUGUUGCCUCACUGUAGAGAAUUUCUCCAUCAUUCGAGGUACUUAUUACACAUCCUUGAGCAUUUGAUGACUCAGGUUCUUUGUCCUCUUUUCUCUUCUGGUUACUCCAAUACUCUUUCUUGACGUGCCUUUUCUUACCACAGUUGUAGCAUUUAACAUUCUUCUUACUUCUGAAUUUUGAUCUACCAUGAUUAUGACUCCCACUGGGGCCACGUUACAUUGAUAUCCCUCUCGUCACCGAUAGUGCCUCCGCUUGCUGCGAACUUAUUUUUCUGUUUUCCUUAUUUUUCCGCCUGCUUUCCUCAUUUAAUAUGGAGGGUGCAACAUCGUCAAAAACCAGACUGUCCGUUAGAUUGUUGUUCGUUAGGUUGAUGAUGAGUUAAUCAUACGAAUCUGGUAGACUUUGAAGUAGAAGUUCUACACGUUCAUUUUCCUCUAUAUUAUGACCCAAUAAUGUAAGUUGUGAAACUAGAGUCUUCAAGACGUUGAUAUGGUCAGUCACCGUUGUAGAUUCUGCCAUUCGAAGAAUAUAGAGUUUCCUCUUCAAGAAUAUUUUGUUGUGUAGUGACUUGGCCUUGUACAAUUUUGUGAGAGUAUCUCAUAUUUUCUUUGCUGUAUUUUUCUCUGCCACACUGGAUAAUACUCCAUCUGCAAGUGCCAAGUGUAGAUCAAAAAUGGCGUUGCCAUCUAUCUCGUUCCAUUUGUCAUCAGUUAUCUCCAUGGGCCUUUCUCCAAUUGUUGUCAAGCAAUUAUUUUUCCUCAAUACAACUUUCAUUUCCAUUUUCCACAACGAAAAAUUAUUUUUGUUAAACUUCUCAAUUUCAUACUUUACCGCCAUUUUAUUGAUAAAUAUUGUACACAGACUAGUGUAUCACCUCGAAUAGUUGUGAGUAUGUGUGAAUAUGCACACUAGGAAAGUUCCCAGGAAAGACUGGAGGGGUCACAAUGGUCCCACUUAAAACCUAGACUCCUUAGACUCUGAUCGCCUUUGUGACAGAACAUUCCUAGACAUGUACAAAACCACAUAGUUGCUUUACUCACACCACUAUUCCCUUCUUUGCACUGUAAAAUUCUUGGAUCGCUCCCCCCGUUUCUCGUAAACAAUACCAUAUAUAUAAUGAACAAUGUCGUAUACGUGAACAGUUCUUACGAAAACAGUACCUGACUCCAAAAAAUACAACUAAUAGCUCUUAUACCACUGUCAGGAAAUUGAUGGGUGAACCAGACACACAACUAAAGUGAAAUUGAGAAAUCAUCAGACAAAAUAAUCACACAAGGACACCAGAAAUUACAUGGUUCAACUUUUAGUCUACGUCCACAGGCGAAGAUAGAAAGAAAAUAUAUUUCACUAGUAAUAUGAGGAUUACAAGUAUUGUAAUAUUUUCACUCACUAUCCAGAACCCCAAUACACCCAAUCUCUCACUCACUAAUUACUUAAGAGUUUAUUAAAACUCUUAUUCUCUCACUCUACAAUUUCUUAACUUCUCUCUCUAAAUGGAAUUAAUGAGCUCUCCCUUAGCACUUCUAUUUAUAGGAAAUAUCAUGGCCAAAAAAAGGUCAUUAAUUGCAUCAAAAAUUCAAACAACACAGUUAGCAAUCAUGACUAAAUUUUAGCAAAUUUUCCUCCACCAGCUAAGUGCCAAAUUUGGUGCUUGUAAUGUCAAAAAGGGAUGUGGAAUUCUUGCUCUUCUAGGAAGAGUGGCCCACCUCAUUUGACACUAAAUAUCCUUGAAAACACCAUCAGCUUGUUAAGUCCUUUGAUCAAAGAAAUGGAUAGGUUAAACCAAGAGCUGGGGGACUCUAAUAAAAUAGAAGUGAUCAUUCAUUUGUUUCUUCAACAACGGAAGAAAGGGGGAGCCCUGGUUUCAAAGUACUCAAGCAUCCGUCGCUGGAACUUGUGCAAGAAGAGGAAAUACGAAAAAAGGCUUCAGAAUAUGGAUUCUUCUCUUUGUGAGCUUUCCGGAGUGCUUCAGGUUGGACAAGCGCUUGAUACCCAACGCCUUUAACGUAUACUACACGAGAUGUACCAUUAAAUAAGAGCGCCAGGCGCAUUUGCUUCAAUUGUGCGGAGCAAAUGCGUUACCACAGUCCAACUAGCGGGGUGUGUGGGCACUGAAACUAUAAUAAAACCAUACGAUGUUAGAAGAAAAAGAUAAAAUAAUCAGUUAAUACUCUAAUACCACAUUGUAUUACAACUUAUUUUGUUAUCGUUUUAUGAGCUUUUAGUCUUUAGUAGGUGGUUUUUCAAAUUAUUUUGUAAAAUUUCAUCUAUGUUUCUAUAAUUGUGCAAACUAAACACUUAUGAACUUUUUCUUGAUAGUUAUAGUUUUUAUUUCAUAUCAGUUAUAGCCUAAAAAUUAUGUCAUGCAUGUGCAUCAUUGAUAGGAUUCUUGAAAGAUCAUAUCUGCUACUGACUAUUCACACUUCAGUUAUUAGCUUCUUUUACUUUGUGCUUUUGCAAAAAUCUGCAAUUUUUUUUCGGUUAUUAGUUAAUAAAGCAUCUCAAACUUCAAAUUGGUAAUGAUACCAGAUCGUGAAGAGCUAGGUUUAAUGAUUUGAUCAUUGCAUAAUCUUGGAAAUUAAGUUAAACUUGCGGGCCAAUUUGAAUCAUGACUAGUUAACGACGGGGUUGAAACCUUGAAAGUAACGCUAAGUUUUAUAAUUUAUCUACGUCGCGUACAAGUAGCUACAUAAUUGUUUUGGCAUCUUUUCAAACCUCUUCUUGUUCUUUAACUUGUUUGACAAUAAGAUUCGAAAUAUUUAACUCAAUUCCCUUCCUAACUCCAUUUGUAUCCCAUUUAUGUGUGCUUGACCAGUUAAUAUUGAACACCAAAUUAAUAUAAUUAAAGGGUACCAGGCUUUUUUAGUCCGACAAUGAAAGAAUUAGGGGAGGUGCUUUCAACAAUUUUUUUGAAAACACCCAUUCAAAUCUUCAUUGACUGAAUAGUAAUCCUCAUACUUAAUAUGGGUGAGAUAGAUACAUCUCACUUAAUAUCAGUGAGAUAGAUACUGUUGGGGAAAAAUCAGGUUUUUAAAAUUUUAUAAAAUCUUUUAAGGACCACUCUCAUAUAAUAUAUAGGAAUACGUAAUCCAGAAAUCGUACCUUGAAAAUUCGAGUUGGCUUUUUUCGCUGAAGUGAAUUAGGCUCCUAGAUCACGAUCCGCCACCACCACGCUUGUUAGAUCACGAACUGUCACCAAUGAUCUUCCAGGUUAUGACUCAGGUUCGAUCUGCACUUGACGUGUGGGCGCCUUUAUCACUACCAAAGCAACUAGCACGAGAAAAUUUUUCUCUCAACAAUAGAGAGAAAAAUCUUAUUUUCUAAUCUGUAUAAAGUGGCUUCUCUUUUUUCUUUAGGGAAAAAUAAGCCUUUUAUAUCACCCUUUAGUGAAAACCCUAGGCUCCAAAUAAUCAAAAAACAAAACUUACGUUUAUUUGCUUUUUCAAUAGGGGACCCACCUUGUAAAAUAACAUAAGGCCCCUUAUACAAAAGCUAAUUAAAUGGAGCCUCCCACUAAAUGAUAUAUUUAGGCUUUUGACCUAAAUAGCUAGUUAUCUUACUUAUUAGUCUAGUAGUGGUGCAGUCAAUUAAAUGAGCUAACUCGGGGAUCAUUUGGGAACAUACAAUAGUGGCUACAAUAAUUAGGCCUGUAAUUAAACUAGCCCAAUUAUUUAAUUCCAAAUCUACUCCACUAAAAGAUUGGAACUGACUUUCAUAAUUGUAUGCUCGAAUAAUAAUUCGUCCCAAGCCACAUUGAUUUCUUUACUGUACAAUCCUUUGUACCACAUCGUUAAUUAAAUUGAUAUCUCAACUGUCCAAUCAAUUUAAUAACAUCUUAUUCCUUGAUCCUUACUGGUUUUCUCUAAUGAUCAUUUUCAACAUACUAAAUAUGUUGACACACUCUGGCCAGAGAAUUCUAUGAUCAAGUGCCGAAAACCCAUCAAGAGAUGUGUUGUACAAAUUCUAUAUUGUUAAUCCAUAACUCCAAUACUCAUAAUUGCUCCCACCAAGAUACCGGGUAAUCUUGACCACAAGGAUGUGUCGUGCCCAUUGGUAACUCAAAUGGAAUAACAAUUACAAUCAUGAAAUCAUAAUUAACUCAAAAUUAAGAUUACAGUAAAAUCAACGCCUAUGAGAUUUAAUAAGUCUGACAGUUAUUACAAAGUUAAUUAAAUCUCAUAUGUGAUCCUGUUCAAUGUAGUCGCACUACAUCAAUAAAUUCAUACAUGAUUAAGACAAAUCAUUCAAUGAAUUUAUUACAACCUAUACCUAAAUAAAGUGCCCAACUUUAUUUAUCAACUGCGAACUAAAUUUAUUUAAUCAUAAGAUAACUUGUAUUUAUGUCUUCUAUGAAUCCACAUGGUGAUCACAUAAAUACAUAUAAUAUGAUUAAAUGGACUUUAAUACAAAUAUUAAUGCAAUUAAGAUAUUUGAAUAAAAUACCUCAUUUAUUUUAUUAAUCAGAAAAAUUAUUUAUUACAAUUAAAUAAACACAUAUGCUUUUAAAGAGCAUAUUUUCCCAACAGAUACAUCUCCUAAAAAAUUAGUAGAAGGAUAGAUAGAUCUCCUUAAGUGCGAGGACAGAGUCGAAGAGUUAUCACCUUUAGUGGGUGUAGAUUUCUAAACUAUUCCUAGUAGACUCUAGCUAUUCAGUACACACCUUGUGUUGAGAUAGUGCACUCAGUUCUUUAAACAUCUUUUAAAAACUCAAACUAUGUUUUAACAGUAUUAGAUUCCGUUUUUUGAUGAUUCCUAUAUAUUCUAACCUUCGAUUGAAAAUCUAAAGCUACCAUUGGAAUCAAGAUGAAAAAUCGAGUCGGAAGGUGCCAGACCCGACGUCACCGGUGACAAAAAAAGGUGGUGCAUCGCACUGUAUCGAUACUGUAGCGAACUGUAGCAAGCACUGUAUUGCAUGGAAUGCACGCGCCUGACUGUUAGUGUGAUAUAAUGUAUUCAGAUUAAUAUUUUCAAUGUAUUUUGCUAUUCGGGAAUCUGAUUUGGACGUCGUUUGUACUGUUUGAUCCAAAAUUUAAUUUUCUAUUUAUUUUUAACUUAGAAUCAAAGUUUUUUAAUUUUGAAAUAAAAUUCGGAUCAAAUAUAUAUUAUUUCUUAGAUGAGCAUUAUACAUUAAUAAAUAUUUCGCUCUAGUGAGAGCUCGAAAAUAUUUCUUUCAUGGAAAGUGGCUGAAAUUUGAUUAUAUCUCGUGUUUUAGUCAUUUGUUAACAAUCGCUAAUAUGAAUUUUAUGUUAUUUGUCGUAGAUGGCUCUUGUUAGAAAAUUGUGGACUGAGGAAGAGGGAUUGAUGACAAUUAGAGCAUGGGUUUCACCUAUGGAUCCAAUUGAAACUAAUGAUGACUUAUCUCAUGAAGAAGCUAUGAAGAAAAUGAAAAAUUUUCCUAAGAUCAUGAAUCCUUGGAGCUGGGCCUGUCUGAUGGUAUAGCUAAGAGUAACCUUGAUUUAUUAUAUUGUUAUGGGAUUUUUACGGGCCUUGUUGGUGGUUUUUAUUGGGUUGUUUUACUGCUCUAUUGAGUGAUGUGACUAAAGAUGACAAAUAAAUCUGAAUCUAACCCACAUCCGCAAAGAGGUAGAUUUGGAAAAAUCUUGAUUCACAUAAUAAAUAAUGUGGACCUAGAUGUAACAAUUUAGGAUCCAUACGAAUUUGGAUGCACUUGCAUCCAAAAAAUUGAACAUUCAAUUUGUAUUUUUUAAAAAUAAAUUAAAUAAAAAUAAAAUCUAUAUAAGAGAACACAAACUCUAAGCUAAAAACUCAUUACACAUAAAUAUUGUAAUACACCCAAGUACCUAUAACUAUUAUUUUAGAAUAUUUUAGAUUUGUUUAGUAUUGGAUGAUUAUUAUUUAAAAAAAUAGUUAAAAUAUAGUAAAUUUACAUAUAAAUAUUUUUAAUGUGUGAACCUAGAUACCCGUAAUUAGGGGUGGCCAACUAUAGGUUCGAAUGAACACGAUUGAAUUUCAGGUUAAUCAGAUUGGGAAAAAUGCAACUCGAAUUUAACUCAAACAUAUAAUUUGACCUGAUCCGAUCUAAAAUAAAUUUAGAUUGGAUCGAGUCAGAUCGAUAAUUUAUGUUUGUUUGUGCUUUUAUUUCUUCAUAUUUUCAGAUUAAAUCAGGUGACCGAUCCAAUCAUGAUCGGGUAAGAUCGAUUUGGAUUAGGUCAUUUGUCCACCCCUACCCGUAAUAUCCGCCUAGAAUCUGCACGAGCAUUACCCUCAUCCGAAUCCAUAAUAAAUAAUACAGAUUCAAAUGUAGAUUCGGAUCCAAAUUUUACUAUCCCUAGACGUGGCUUUGUUUAAGGUAGAAACUGUGGUUGUGAUUUAUGUUAUUGAGAGGCUCUUGCGCGUUGUUGGCAUUCUUUGUGGAUUGAGUGUGAUUUUUCGUCCCAUUAAAUUUAUUAAAAAAUAGGCUUAAAAUAGAAAAUGAGAAAGAUAAUGAAAAAAUGUCCCCACCCACCUAUUAUCAUCCCUCCGUACUAUUAGGUUAUUUUUUCUAUUACUUUGAUUAACAAGUUGGCUUAAUUUAUUAAAUGAUGUUCAUAUAAUGACAAAUUGGGAAUAUUUCUCACAAAUGAAAAUAUAGGUUGGAUAAGAUGGGUUCCAAGAAGCAAUUCUAAUUUGACACAAGUGUUAGCAAUCUAUGCUGCGUUUACUUUUUGGAUUGGAGUGGAAAUCCUGAGAAGUGGGAAUCCUUGGAUUAGGAGUGUGGAGUGGGAGUGGGAGUAGGGUGUUUACUUAGUCUAAAUGAAAGUAUGGAUUGUCAAUCAGGAUCCUAAUUAUUUGUUUAUUUUGUCUUGGAUUGUGAGUAAAUUGUUUUAAAUUACAAUUUUAUCCUUAUGUACAGAAUUAUAAUUUGUAAUUAAAAAAUUAAUAAAAAUAUAUUUAGAAAAUAAAAUAAAUAUUUUAUUAUAUUUAUAAAUUAAUAAUAAUUACUAAUAUUCUUAAUUAUGUAAAUCAUAAUUUUUUAUUAAUUUUAAUUUAAAUUAUGUGAAUAAAAAUUAUUAAUAAUAGCAACACAAAUGAAAUAUUAUUAUUGAUAAUAUAGUACAAAAUUAAUAUUUUUUUAGAAUAAAAUAUUUAUUAUUAUUAUUAAAUAAAUAAUUAAUUAAUAUUUAUUAAAAUUAAUGUUUAAUAUUAUUAAUUUAAAUAUAAUAUUUAUUUAUUUUAAUUUUAUUAAAUUUAAUAAAAUAAAUAUGAUAUAAUUAUUAUUUUUAAUAAAUAUGAUAUUAUUUAUUUUAUUAAAUAUUAUUUAUUUAUUUAUUUUUAUAAGGAUAAAAUAGGAAGAGGGGGGAGUGGAUUCCCACUCCCACCUCCCCCCAUGGGAGUGGGAAUCCCACUUCCCACUCCAAAAUUGAGUGGGACUCACGGAUUCUCACUCUCACUCCCCCCUUUUUUAAGGUAAGUAAACACUGGAGUGGGAGGAAUCUACACUCCACACUCUCACUCUAGAAAGUAAACACUACCCUAGUUGAUUUGACACCACAAAAGAGAAUUAGAUAGGGAAUUUUCCUAAGUUACAUUUGUUGUAACUUAUAAUUCAAUUAAAACAUGCAAAAAUAAGUAACGUGAGAGAUGGGGCUUGUAGACCAGUGUGUGGUCUUUACAUUUGUUUUAACUAGAAUGUAUGUUACAACAAAUGUAACGUAGUAGGACCCAUAGAUAGGACAUAUAGUUAGUCACACGUUAACACUGAAUCAUACGAUCAUAUCAUAUCACGCACAAGGACAAACUGCAGUUGAUCUACUUUACCAAAGAUAUUAUUGUAUUUGAGGAGAGCAUGUGAAUGUAAAUAUAGCUAUGUGAAUAUUGCAAGAAUUUCUUAAUAAAAAGACCUUGCACUUUUCAAAUUUGUGAAAAUAUCCCAUCUGAAUUUUAAAACUUUGAAAAUGCCCCAUAAAAUUUUGGAAAGUUCUGAUUUCCCUUCUCCAAAAAUCCCAACGCUCUACAAUUUGAUUCGUUAUUUUGAAUUUAUAAAAAUGGAUUAUUCAUUAAGAUAAUUAAUAACUCACAAUAAAUAAAUCAAAAGGAGACAUUCUCUUCUUUUUGUUUUUUUUUUUGUAAUUUUUUAAAAAAAGAUUGAGAGUAGACAAAGACCAAAUAAUUUUUUUUUAAUGUUUGCCUUCAAAUUCAAGCAAUCAAUAAAAUAAAAAUGUUUUUAAAUGACUAAAACAGUUCCUUGAGGCCUAUUUUCAGUGCUUCUUCUUCAAAAACAAACAGCUAAUAAAUCAUGCAUCAUUUUGAAAACAUGAAAUCAGCUAUAACAAUUGUAAUGAGUAGAAAUAUAGUAAAUGAAUAUUAUAGUUGUAGUCAUAGGCGGUGCCACGCACCCUAACUUUUUAAAAUUUACAAAUUUAAUUUAAUAUUUACCUUAUUUACCAUAAAAGUCCCUAUUAAAAUUAAAAAAUAAUCAAAAUAUUAAGUAUUUAUGUUUAACUUUCAACCCACAAAGAAAUUGUUAUUUUGAGAUUCGUUGCACGCUAACUCUCCUCACACAAAAAAAAAAUAGAAAUUAUUUUAUCUUAUUGAAUUUAUCAAAAUGAUUUUUCUUCAAUGAAUCUUAUGAUACUUAAAAUUUAAUUUGAUGUUUAUAUUACAUAGGUGGGUUCUAAUAACAAAUUUUCAAAAUUGAAAGAGAUUGAUAGGCUAAUAAGAAAAAUAGUUCAUACUAAAAAAGAUAAAUUGUAUUCAUGAAUUUGUUUAUUGAUAACAUUAGCAUUGAUUUACUAGUUGUCAUGACUACAGUAGUAAAAGACAUUUUCAACUAUGAAUUUUGUGAAAAAUCGUUUGUGAAAUCAGAUUAGAGAUUAAUAAUUGAGUAAUGUUAUUAUUACACAUGUAGAAAAAAAUUUAUUUUGUAUUCUUGAUGAUAAAUUUAUUUUUUUACAUUUUUAACAUAUGAAAACACGUCGAUAUCAAUUACAAAUGUAUUGAAUAUAUUAGUGAAUUUUUAUUUUUGAUACUUGUUAUUUAUUGACCUUUUUUAAAUUACAAUAUUAUUUAAACUUAGUCCCUGCUAAGUUUAAUUUUUGGCACCGCCACUGGUUUUAGUCAUAUUUAUUAUUUCUAAAUCUUGAAAAUUGUAUCAAAUUUUGUGACCAUGUCCCUGAUUGUGAUUAUCUACAACUUUUGCUACAGUUUUUAAUUUUAUAUUCCAGGACCUUGAAUUAGAAGACAUAACAAUCUUCGGAUACUUCGAUGUGUCAAAAAGGAAUGCAUUUACAACGUAACAUAUAUAUAAUCAUCACGAUCUUCAGUUCAGUAAAGCAAGUUACCGGCACUUUAAACUUGCAAAACUAUCAGCAUUCCCUACUGCUGCUUGGCUCAUUAUGUUAAUUGUUUUGCUUAUUUUCAGAUCAAAUGAUUCUAUGGUCUGGGAACACUAAUAAUGGCACUUUGUUAAAUAAAUGACUGGGUUUUACGAUAUUAAUCCACCUGCAUGUGCGUACCCUAAAUAAUUAACAAAAAUGGAUUGAAAACUAAAGAUGGUGAAUUGAAAACUAAAGCACAGAGGACAAAGAUCAAAAUAAGAGAGUUGAAACGGGCCAUUAAUGUGGGUUAAUGUGGAACAAAUUUAGAUAUAUACUAUAAUUUUGAGGAUGAGUUUAAGUUAACAAAUUAGUACACGGGAUAAUGAGUAUCAGUAGUAAUAUAUAUAUGGCUCUGAGAAAGGAAAGGCGUGAGGGUAAAGUACUAAGUUUAAUUAGCUGGUAGCUCAAGUUGACAAUUUUAAAAUUUUGGAAAAUUAUAAUUUGGGUUAGGUUCAUAUGCACUAUGCAGCCGGCGGCCAAUAAUGUAGCUAGUAAGAACUGGAUUAAUUGCAUCCAUGCUUGCAGGAUAAUUCUCCUAUUGCUGCCGGCAAAUUCCUAGAAUUUUCAAACAUAUCAACAAUUAAAACUCAUUUUUGCUCCUUUCAUUGAGUCAAUUGAUAAGAUCUUUUGGAUUUUUUUGGAACAUUGCAUGCAUGUUGUAAGACAUUGUGUAACUAGUUGUCACAAGAUGAGUGUAAUGCACAGCAACCCUAUAUGGCAUUUAGACAACUUUUAGUACAAAAGUUGCUAAAUAAGCCUUUCGAUUAGGGAUGGCAAAAGUCGGGUUCGGGUCCGGAUUUGGCCUUCCCAGUUCCAGUUCCAGACCCAGAUACCGUUUUCAUUAUACCGGACCCGGAUGUUAACUUGGUUUUCUUGCAUCUGGGUUCGGUCCAGGUUAAGCCUGAAAAAAUCCGAGUUUUCAGAUUUUGGGUUUUGAACCCGGAUCAAUAAGAGUAGUUUGAAAAAGAAAAAAAAAAAAGAGUUUUAUCCCAUCACAUGAACCAGAAAAUUUAAGAAUUAACAUGAUAUACAAAGUCAUAAAAUUGAAAAUCCAUCAUGUUUGUCAAUCACAUACUUAUUCGAAGUCAAAAAAAUGCCAUCCAAAAAGAAAAAAAAAGUCGAAAAAAUGAGUAAUUGCAAAAGCUUUUGAAGUAGGAAAAGUUUUCCAACAGGAGAAACACAUAAGACAGCACAUGAGGAAGAAAGUAUAACUCUUUCAUUUUUUUCCCAAUCUGAGUAGUUUUGCGGGCAAUUUCGCAAAUCAGUUCAAUUUCGCAAGUCGGUCGUAAUCGACUUUGCCGUAUCAGUGUUGUUUUCUCCACAAGUUGAUGAAGAUGCGUCUUCAACCACAUCAUGGCUUGAAAUGCGGCAACUAACGAUGAUGAUGAUGAUGAAAAGAGCUGCGACAAUAGCAAAGAACAUUGAUUUGAGUUGAUGAGGAGAUGAUUUGAAGAGAAAGAAAAUGGUUCGCUCUGAUUUUGGGCUACGGUGGCUGCGAUAUACGAGUGAAAUUAGGGCACUUGUGUGUUGUGUGUGUGUUUUUCUAAUGUUACUAUUUAUAUUAAAUAUAAUUAAAAAUAAUAAAAAUAAUAUAUCCGGGUCUGGGUUCCGGAUAUGCGGGUUAAAUCAAACCCGCAUUCGGACCCAGAUAUAUCCGGGUUAAGAAAAAUAAUUCCGGAUCUGGAUUUUAUUGCACUCUGGUAUGGGUUAAACCCGGACCGAAUUGUUCAGGUUCGUCCGAGUCCGGGCCGAGUCUGGAAAAAACUGUCAUCCCUACUUUCGAUCUUCUCAAACUAGCAAAGAAAUGAUACUUGUGGAAAUGCUAGAGAGAAGAGAGAGUAAUAUGACUAAAUAUAAUUUUAUUACUCAUUAAAGAGGAAAAAGAGAGCUUUUUGCAAGAGAGCUUGUGUGUUGUGUGUGUGUGCUGGUGUGGUGGUGUGUGUUGUUGCGCAAAAUGGUGAGUGCUCACCCCUAUUUAUAGAGUUGGGUGCUAACUCAUGAAGCUUCCUAUCAAGUGGGAGUAACUUGCCUAAAUAUCUAGUUAGGGACUAAAGUACAAAAGUGUAAAAACUUCUAGUAAUUUACAAAUUGUUAGAGAAUUUUAAAAUUCAGGCCGAGCAUGAUUAUUUACUAAGUGCACUACGGCUAAUUAGUUGUAAAAAGUGGCCCAUUGUUGAGCGCACUCUACUGCAUAGUGCAUCUUGCAUGCUUUUAUUGAGCGUACCCGCACACGCCAAUUUAGCCCCAUGACAAGGUUCCUUUAAUAUGGCUGGAUAUUUAUUGGGCUAGACAUAUAUGUUCGAUUUGUGAGUAUAAUAAAGAGUUGGACUAUUGGCACCCCUUGAUUAAUCUUAUAAAACCUCUGUUAUAUUACAAUUACUUUUAAGGACAAAUUUAACUAGAAUUAAACCAUUUAUAUUUUCUUUCUCUCCUUAUUUUUAUUUUGCUUACACAAUAUAAAAGUUUUUAUUAUCAUUAAAAAAAUUUGAAUUUGAGAAUUAAUCUUCUAAGCCAAAACAAAAUUUACAGGUUGGAUAAAAUUGUAUUAAACCCAUAAAAUAUUUAUUAUUUUCUAAGUAUAAUAUUUUUCUUAUUUUUUCUUUAAAAAUUAAAUAAUAAAGAAAGUUUGAAGAGAUGAAUAUAGAUAUUAAGAUUGAAAGAGUGAGAAAGUUAUUAAAAACUGAAAAAUUCAUAAAUAAAAAGAGUGUUUAUUAAAAAAAUAUUUUUAGUAUUCCAUAUAGGGUAUUUUAUAACAUUUUUUAUAACUUUUUCACUGAGUACUGUAAUAAACUUAUCAUAAAGGUUAAAAAUAUAGUGGGGAAAACAUCAUUAUCGUCAUCACUCAUUGUAGUUUUCUUCAACUGGAAAAAGUGUGUGUGAGAAUUUUGUAUACUACGUGGCAUUACAUAAUUCAAUUAGAUUGGAUUAAUAGAUGUGAAGAGUUGGAUUAGGUUCUUUCUUGUAAUGAUGAUUACGAUAAAACGGCACAUAAUACUUGACUGUAGAAAAUUUUGAUAGAAUUAGUCGUUGUUAUUUAACUAAGACUGUAAUCCCACUCAAUGAUUUAAUGAUAAAACCUCCCUUCAGAUUCAUUUAAGUAGCAUUCAAGUCUGCCAGUGUGAAUUAUGUGCUUGAUUUACCUUCAAAAAUUUAAAAAUAUAACAAAUAAUGCACUUGAACUACGCUUACACUAUCAUAACUUUAGAUUCCUGUUUGAUAAAAGAUAAAAAUAAAAUAAAAUACAAUUAAUAUCCAACACAUUAUAAAAAAUAAUUAGUGAUAUAUCAGUUACAACGGCACACACUAUGUAACUUACAAAAAGUAAGUAGCUCUAAAAAUUUCAAUUUUCGGGCCUCUAAGGGCCCAGCCUUAAAAAUAUUUGCGCACCUGCUGAAAACAUAAUGAAAAACAUUAAAAAAUCAAAACGAACAUUCACCAUUCUGGAAGUUGGAGUUUGUCAAUGAAAUUUUUAGAUAAUAUAAUAAUACACAAAUAGAUUGCCAUGACUCAGUAUUAAAAAACAAUAUGUUGAUGUAAGCAAAUGAAGAAGAAAAUGUACUGAGAUGACAAGUUUCCUCAGUUUUUACAGAGUCACAGAUGAACAAUUGAAGAAUUGGCAAGCCUUCGUUGAUCUGCUCCGAGCAGGGAAAACAAGGCCGGUUCAAUAAAUCCUCAUCUAUAAAUAGGGUUGCUAACCUUGCAACAUUUCUCACCUCGCACUAAACCAAUAAGAAUAAGUUCAGAGAUUAAACAGAGUGAGAUCCCAAAGCUAGCUAGCUAAUUAAACACAAUGAGAAAUGUUCAAUUUCUUACAGGUUUUGCUCUCUUGAUUUUGGCUUCUUCAUUGGCCUCUGCCUUUGACCCUAGUCCUCUUCAGGAUAUCUGUGUAGCCAUUGAUGAGCCCAAGAACGCAGGUAUAUUUUUUACACUUUAAUUUUCUGUCCUAAAAAAUCUUUUAAACUUGUUUAUGUAUACGUGUACGUUGAUCUCAAAUUCACCUUACUAAUUAAUAUUCUGAAUUCUUGGACGCAGUCUUUGUCAACGGGAAGUUCUGCAAGGACCCCAAGCUUGCCAGGACAGGAGAUUUCUUCUUAUCAGGGCUAGACAAGCCUGGAAACACAGCAAACCGACUUGGCUUCAGUGUAAAAAAUGCAAAUGUUGACCAAAUUCCAGGACUCAACACUCUCGGAAUAUCAGCAGUCCGUAUUGACUAUGCACCCUAUGGCCAAAACCCUCCUCACACUCACCCUCGUGCCACUGAAAUCCUGACGGUUUUGGAAGGAACACUUUAUGUUGGUUUUGUGACAUCAAACCAGCUAAACAACACACUCAUUGCAAAAGUUCUGAAAAAGGGAGAUGUUUUCGUGUUUCCAAUUGGUUUGAUUCACUUCCAGUUCAACAUUGGAAAAACAAAUGCAGUUGCCAUCGCCGCUCUAAGCAGCCAGAAUCCUGGUGUCAUUACCGUUGCAAACUCGGUCUUCGGAGCCAAUCCUCCAAUCAAUCCUGAUUUUCUUGCCAAGGCAUUCCAGUUGGACGUAGAUGCGGUGAAAGAUCUUGAGGCUAAGUUCUAAAUGUGCAGCUUAUUUGAAUAAUCUUGCCAUUUAUUCAUGUUUCUCGUUCUAAUUAUUGUCAUUAUCAGUUGAUUUUGAUGUAAUAAAGAGAUUCGUACAUUUGUACCUCUCUCAAGUCAGCUUUGUUUGGUUUCCUAAUUAACCCUUAAUUAAAUAAUGUAUUUUUCAUUCAAUGUGAUCAAUGGUCUCUUAUCUGAUCUCGGAUUAUUAUUAUUAUUAUUAUUUUGACGGGGGGCCACAGAUAAUUGUUCUUAGCUGUGUCGACCUAGAGGGCCCUUAUCGGGGGAGGUUUUCAAAUUAUAUAUGGACUAAUCUGAAGGAUUCUCAAAAGGUCUCACAAAAGACGUAGUUAUAUAAAGUUCUGGGUUAUGCUAAAAGACAAGAUAUUCAAUAAGUAAGUCAAAUCUACGCUGGCUAACAUGUUACACGCACCUGAGAAUCGUUCAUUAUGAUUUUGAGCAUUAUGAAACAUCUGACUACAUGACAGGCCAAAAUGAAGAUCACCCAUGAAAAUUACUGCACAAACCAUCCAGAACUGCAAUUGCUUUCAGAUUGAAGCUAAUAAAGUUUGUACACAUUAACCCUCUCAUGUAUUAUCACUUUCGACAAACUCCUAACUAGGCAACUUGGCCGGUGACCUAAAACCUGUGCAGACCAAAACAACUACGGACAUGAACACGGUGAUUGGUGAACAUGUAGACUGAUAGAAAGAUUCACGUCUAGCCAAUAGAUGUGUUCGCACUUGCGAACUCUCAAUUAUUGGUUACCAGAGUCUCAAAUUUAGGGCUAAUCAAGGAUUCAACAAGUUGAGAUGCAUUCAAGAGCAUGUCAUCCUUGCACAUCUUAGAAAUCACAGUUCUCCACGUAUCAAAAUCAAUAUCGUUCCCCCUAAUCAGGGUAUUCAAAACUGUCCACAGAUCCUCCACAUUCCCUAUCUCACACAGCUGACCAAUAAAUAAAUUUAUACGAGCAGAACGAGGUACAAAACCCUUAAAAAUCAUCUCAUUCAAAAUUAAAGCAGCUUCCCUGAACUGCGUCCCAUCGCAUAGCCCAUCAAAAAGUAUCCUAUAGGACACAACAUCAGGAUUGCAGCCCUGUCUAGGCAUAUCCUCAAACAAAUCUUUUGCUUCACUGCAUUUUCCGUCCUUACACAGCCCCCCAAGAAUCACAUUAUAACUAAUAGGAUUUGCCUUACAGCCUUUGUCCCCCAUUUCAUCCAAAAUUUUAAAUGCUGCUUCAAAAUCCUUCUCUUUACAAAACCCACUGAUCAAUGCAUUAUAUGUUACAGAAUUCGGUUUGCACCCACGCUCCUUCAUUUCCUUUAAAAUCGCAGGAAAUUCAUUCUUCCUUCCCGCCUUAAAAAGCGCACUGAUCAAUGAAGAAUAUAUACCUACAUCCAUUUCAAUCUUAUCUCUCACCAUCUCUUCUUUAACCCCAAGUGCCAAACUCAACUCACCAACCGCACAAAGCCCUUUUAUCAAUGACGCAAAGAAUUGUCCGUCAGGCUUCACAUUAUACACUCUCAUCAUAUCCUCCUUCAACUUUAAUGCCUCAUCUACCCUCAACCCCAAACAAAGACCAUAAAGUAACGUCCCAAAUGUCACCAGUGUUGGCUGCAGUCUUCUUUUAAGCAUUUCUUCAAACAACUUCCACGCGUCCUCUAAUCUCCGACUUACAACACAACCGUGUAUCAAAAUAUUAUAACUACAAGAAUCUGGGCUAACAUAUUUCUCCAUAAUUUGAAACAACUCCUUCAUUCUAUCAAGCUUUCCGCACGUUAACUUUGGAUUCAACAACGUGUUGAAAGAUUGACCGUCAUUUGAACAUUAAAACUCGACAUUUCAUCAAACAUUUGGAAUGCGUGUUCGAGUAAUCGCGCACGUCCAUAAAAGCUGAUAACAUUGCAGAAAAUUAUUUCCUUGGGAACGACGCGAGUGUCGUGCUUGAGCUGGUGAAGGAUUUGCUGCAUUUCGUAAAACAUCUUGGCUCGGCCAAGCUUGGUGAUGAUAAGGUCAUAGUGAAGGAGAUUGUAGCGAAAGGGUUUUAAUGGAUGGGCUUCAGAGUCAUUGGGGUUAGGAUUAGGGUUUUUGAAGAGUUGCAGAGCGAGUUUCGGGUCUUUUUGGAGGCGAAGAAGAGAAGCAAGCCUGAAGGGAGACGUGGGUUUUGCUUUAUUAAUAUGGAAAAUGAUGUUUGCCCCGAGUCAAACGAUACCGUUUCGGCUCUUAAUUUUUUUUUGUUUUCAAGCGCUAUUGAACGAGGAUGUUUUUGUUUCAAUUUUGUUAUUUGUUUUGAUUUGCUUUCAACGAAGUUAUUUUGGUUUGCAAAUGGCAGCUUUCUUCUUCCCCUUUCUUUAACCCAGCUGAACCCUUGCUUCUUCCUUUUUUUCGUUCUCUUAACGACAUUGUUUCUGCUUGAAUUUUUUUUUGUUUGUUCUGAUUUGUUGUGAACGAAGUCGUUUUAGUUUGCAAAUAGCAGUCUUCUUCUUCCUCUUUGUUUAGUCCAGUUGAAACAAGUAAUUAAUUAAUCUUCUUCUCUCUUUUUUCUUGAUAAUGGGUGUUGCUAUGCAUUAUUUCUUCAUUAUUAUUAAUAGUCUAUUUGUUGAAAUUAUUAUGGUUAUGAAUUUGGUUGAGAGGGCGGUGAGUUUGAGGGUCAAGGCCAUGGUUAAGUAACUUCUGCUUGAUGUGUGUAUUCCAAUAAUUCUUUAUUUUAUUAUCUGUGCUUCCUAGUAAUAUUCCAGCUAUCAUCGAUCACUUGCACAUUACACAAAUUCAAAACACCCCCCACCCAAAAAAAAAGUUUUUUUAGAUCUAAUAAGAAAUAAUGCAUAGCAGCACCCAUUAUCAAGAAAUUCUCGACUUAGAGCUAUCCAUUGGACUUGCUUCUUCUGAAUCUGUGGACUCAAGACCACUGCAGCAACGACAACAGCUACAGCAGCAGAAGCAAGUUGUUGGUUACAACAAGUUUUUUGAAGUGAAGCAAGUAGUUUGUUUGUGUUGACAACUGGGUUUUGGGAGAAGUGUACUAUGUAAGAAUUGUACUCAAAAUUCUAGUGUGGUGAAACGAAGAGGAAGAGAAAGCAGAUGGGUUCUGGACUUCUGGCAUUGCUUUUGCCUUAAGCGUGAGAAUUUUGCCUUUUGAAAAACGGCGUCGUUUUAUUAAGAAUGAAAACAAAAACAAAAUAAUAGAUGAAACGGCGUUGUUUUAGAGAUCUUUCGAGGUUUGACCCGGGGCAAACAUCAGUGUUAUUAUUAAUAUAGUUUUGUUUGAUAGGGCUACUGACAUUUGAAAACGCGGUUAAUUAUUUUUGACCGAUUGUUUAGUCAUAUGUUUUAAAUUUUUAUUCAUCGAUCACAAAGUUUGAGGGAACUCUAUGUCACAAAUAUCACAUUUUCCUUAUGCGUAGUUAGGAUAAUAACUUUCUUUUCAAAAAUUUGUGUUCACAUAAUCUUGAUUUUCUUAUACCCACAUAAUCUUGAUUUUUGAAAAACAAAUUCUUAAUUUCCUUAUAUUGAUUUUCUUAAAUAUUAGAGUAUAAUCAUCCAUCUUCAUCAAAUUUUAAUAUUUUAAAAUAUUAGUAAUGUUGAGAUAUAUUUUAAAAUAUUAUUAAUAUUGAGAUAUUAGGAAAAACUAACUAUAGAUAUUUUUUCUAAUAAAUUCUUAGAGCUUAACGAUAUGUUCUUAGAAGAUUGUUGGAAAAUUAUUAAAAUUCUAAUAUGCAGAAGAGAUAUCGAUCUAAGUAGUUAAUACUAGAAUGCCUCUUCGCUUAUGGUGCGUUUACUCCAUGGAAUGAGAAUGAGGUGGAAUGAGAAUGGGCUGAGAAUUGGAAUUGGCUGGAAUGAGAGUUAGAUUUCAAUGUUUACUUGGUAAAAGUAAAUAGGAAUGAGAAUGUGCUAGAAUGUCAUUGAUGUAUUUACUUAGCAAAAUAAAUGG
RNAcentral lists this long non-coding RNA (27899 nucleotides) under Citrus x clementina. Its description in RNAcentral is "Citrus clementina (C. clementina) long non-coding RNA (CCLE_LNC004416)". Lineage: Eukaryota; Viridiplantae; Streptophyta; Magnoliopsida; Sapindales; Rutaceae. The record is from RNAcentral.